Molecule: ribosomal RNA, 1645 nt
Filed under: Salmonella enterica
Lineage: Bacteria; Pseudomonadati; Pseudomonadota; Gammaproteobacteria; Enterobacterales; Enterobacteriaceae
Also listed under: 1 other name
Description: partial 23S ribosomal RNA
Rfam family: Bacterial large subunit ribosomal RNA
Source: RNAcentral
GAAUGCUGACAUAAGUAACGAUAAAGCGGGUGAAAAGCCCGCUCGCCGGAAGACCAAGGGUUCCUGUCCAACGUUAAUCGGGGCAGGGUGAGUCGACCCCUAAGGCGAGGCCGAAAGGCGUAGUCGAUGGGAAACGGGUUAAUAUUCCCGUACUUGGUGUUACUGCGAAGGGGGGACGGAGAAGGCUAUGUUGGCCGGGCGACGGUUGUCCCGGUUUAAGCGUGUAGGUGUGUGUUCCAGGUAAAUCCGGUUCACUUUAACACUGAGGCGUGACGACGAGGCACUACGGUGCUGAAGCAACAAAUGCCCUGCUUCCAGGAAAAGCCUCUAAGCAUCAGGUAACAUCAAAUCGUACCCCAAACCGACACAGGUGGUCAGGUAGAGAAUACCAAGGCGCUUGAGAGAACUCGGGUGAAGGAACUAGGCAAAAUGGUGCCGUAACUUCGGGAGAAGGCACGCUGACACGUAGGUGAAGUGAUUUACUCAUGGAGCUGAAGUCAGUCGAAGAUACCAGCUGGCUGCAACUGUUUAUUAAAAACACAGCACUGUGCAAACACGAAAGUGGACGUAUACGGUGUGACGCCUGCCCGGUGCCGGAAGGUUAAUUGAUGGGGUCAGCGCAAGCGAAGCUCCUGAUCGAAGCCCCGGUAAACGGCGGCCGUAACUAUAACGGUCCUAAGGUAGCGAAAUUCCUUGUCGGGUAAGUUCCGACCUGCACGAAUGGCGUAAUGAUGGCCAGGCUGUCUCCACCCGAGACUCAGUGAAAUUGAACUCGCUGUGAAGAUGCAGUGUACCCGCGGCAAGACGGAAAGACCCCGUGAACCUUUACUAUAGCUUGACACUGAACAUUGAGCCUUGAUGUGUAGGAUAGGUGGGAGGCUUUGAAGUGUGGACGCCAGUCUGCAUGGAGCCGACCUUGAAAUACCACCCUUUAAUGUUUGAUGUUCUAACGUGGACCCGUUACCCGGGUUGCGGACAGUGUCUGGUGGGUAGUUUGACUGGGGCGGUCUCCUCCUAAAGAGUAACGGAGGAGCACGAAGGUUGGCUAAUCCUGGUCGGACAUCAGGAGGUUAGUGCAAUGGCAUAAGCCAGCUUGACUGCGAGCGUGACGGCGCGAGCAGGUGCGAAAGCAGGUCAUAGUGAUCCGGUGGUUCUGAAUGGAAGGGCCAUCGCUCAACGGAUAAAAGGUACUCCGGGGAUAACAGGCUGAUACCGCCCAAGAGUUCAUAUCGACGGCGGUGUUUGGCACCUCGAUGUCGGCUCAUCACAUCCUGGGGCUGAAGUAGGUCCCAAGGGUAUGGCUGUUCGCCAUUUAAAGUGGUACGCGAGCUGGGUUUAGAACGUCGUGAGACAGUUCGGUCCCUAUCUGCCGUGGGCGCUGGAGAACUGAGGGGGGCUGCUCCUAGUACGAGAGGACCGGAGUGGACGCAUCACUGGUGUUCGGGUUGUCAUGCCAAUGGCACUGCCCGGUAGCUAAAUGCGGAAGAGAUAAGUGCUGAAAGCAUCUAAGCACGAAACUUGCCCCGAGAUGAGUUCUCCCUGAGACUUAAAGUCUCCUGAAGGAACGUUGAAGACGACGACGUUGAUAGGCCGGGUGUGUAAGCGCAGCGAUGCGUUGAGCUAACCGGUACUAAUGAACCGUGAG